GUUAAUUCGAUUAAUGUUAUUUCGGGUCGGUUAACCGAAUGAACACCCCUAGCUGAAGUUGUUGGAAUAAGUGAUGAUGAUCAAUCAUCACACAAGGUAAUAAUAAUACUAAUCGUGUCCAACACACCCGAGUAUCAUGUAAAAUCCAUCUCUUUUGAGAUUUUCUUCUGAAAACAAAGUCAUCUAUGGAAUCUGAAUUCUUAUUAUGUGUGAUAAUUAGAUAUUCUAUUUGUCUACGUGAAUUUCUGAUGGUGCUCCAUACUGGAUACUUGUUCAUGUUAUACCAUGUCCACCGACCGAUGUUCGUAAAUUAACCGAUGAUCAGCUUGACUUUUUCAUAUGGUAUUUUGCCAAGAGAUAUGGACUUCAGUUUACGUUGCAGAGCGAUGAGGGAAACAAGGUCAGGAAAGCGUGGGGAGUAGAAGAGGUAAAAGGGCAAACCCCAUAGCCAAUAAUGUGGAACAGUCGCACGGUUGCCCUUCGGGUCCUUCAUGCAACAUGGGAAAUCAAUAUCUUUCUAAUCAUUUUCAAUAUUCACGAAAGAAAAUAAAUCAAUUUCCGUGCCAACUCAUGCCAUUGUCAUCUCUAAUAUUAUUGAGUGAACCACUUACCAGCUCUGGUCUUAAAGUCAAAGUUAAAUAACAAAACCCUAAUGCGACACAUGCAGAAAUUAUUAUUAUUGACUUUCAAAGGCAAAGACGAACGUUCAUGUCUGUUCUUGAUUUGUUCGUCCAUUUCUUCAAUCAUAAAAGUCUAAAUUGUGUUACUAACCCUACAUUCAGUCAUCCAGAAUCCUUAAUGCAUUUGAAAUCAUAGUUUAAUUUUGUUUAAUCAAAGGUAAAUCCACUUCUUUGGUACAAACAAAGAAAAAGUAUGACGAUUUCAUUUUCCCAAUUUUUGGUUUAGUGGAACUAAAAUAUUUCUUAUAUUUGUUUUAUGUUCCAUACAUAUUAAUCUUUCCAUAGUUUAU
This 970-nucleotide long non-coding RNA is filed under the name Gossypium raimondii (Peruvian cotton). RNAcentral describes it as "long non-coding RNA (GRAI_LNC010981)". Lineage: Eukaryota; Viridiplantae; Streptophyta; Magnoliopsida; Malvales; Malvaceae. The record is from RNAcentral.